RNAcentral lists this ribosomal RNA (497 nucleotides) under uncultured bacterium. RNAcentral describes it as "partial 16S ribosomal RNA". It matches the Rfam family "Bacterial small subunit ribosomal RNA", at positions 28 to 507 of the family's 1533-position model. The record is from RNAcentral.
GAUGAACGCUGGCGGCGUGCCUAAUACAUGCGAGUCGAGCGAACGGACGAGAAGCUUGCUUCUCUGAUGUUAGCGGCGGACGGAUGAGUAACACGUGGAUAACCUACCUAUAAGACUGGGAUAACUUCGGGAAACCGGAGCUAAUACCGGAUAAUAUUUUGAACCGCAUGGUUCAAAAGUGAAAGACGGUCUUGCUGUCACUUAUAGAUGGAUCCGCGCUGCAUUAGCUAGUUGGUAAGGUAACGGCUUACCAAGGCAACGAUGCAUAGCCGACCUGAGAGGGUGAUCGGCCACACUGGAACUGAGACACGGUCCAGACUCCUACGGGAGGCAGCAGUAGGGAAUCUUCCGCAAUGGGCGAAAGCCUGACGGAGCAACGCCGCGUGAGUGAUGAAGGUCUUCGGAUCGUAAAACUCUGUUAUUAGGGAAGAACAUAUGUGUAAGUAACUGUGCACAUCUUGACGGUACCUAAUCAGAAAGCCACGGCUAACUACGUG